GAUGAACGCUGACAGAAUGCUUAACACAUGCAAGUCUACUUGAACUUCGGUUUGGGUGGCGGACGGGUGAGUAACGCGUAAAGAACUUGCCUCACAGAUAGGGACAACAUUUGGAAACGAAUGCUAAUACCUGAUAUUAUGAUUUUAGGGCAUCCUAGAAUUAUGAAAGCUAUAUGCACUGUGAGAGAGCUUUGCGUCCCAUUAGCUAGUUGGAGAGGUAACGGCUCACCAAGGCGAUGAUGGGUAGCCGGCCUGAGAGGGUGAUCGGCCACAAGGGGACUGAGACACGGCCCUUACUCCUACGGGAGGCAGCAGUGGGGAAUAUUGGACAAUGGACCAAGAGUCUGAUCCAGCAAUUCUGUGUGCACGAUGAAGUUUUUCGGAAUGUAAAGUGCUUUCAGUUGGGAAGGAAAAAAUGACGGUACCAACAGAAGAAGUGACGGCUAAAUACGUG
RNAcentral lists this ribosomal RNA (454 nucleotides) under uncultured bacterium. RNAcentral describes it as "partial 16S ribosomal RNA". It matches the Rfam family "Bacterial small subunit ribosomal RNA", at positions 28 to 507 of the family's 1533-position model. The record is from RNAcentral.